This 307-nucleotide unclassified non-coding RNA is filed under the name plant metagenome. RNAcentral describes it as "partial contains 5.8S ribosomal RNA, internal transcribed spacer 2, and large subunit ribosomal RNA". The stretch from base 1 to 105 matches the Rfam family "5.8S ribosomal RNA", at positions 50 to 154 of the family's 154-position model. The record is from RNAcentral.
GAAAUGCGAUAAGUAAUGUGAAUUGCAGAAUUCAGUGAAUCAUCGAAUCUUUGAACGCACAUUGCGCCCGCCAGCACUCUGGCGGGCAUGCCUGUUCGAGCGUCAUUUCAACCCUCAGAACCCCUUGCGGGAUCUGGCGUUGGGGAUUGGCGUCCAGCCAGCCCCGAAAUCUAGUGGCGGUCCCUCCGCGACCUCCCCUGUGCAGUAGCGAUACCUCGCAGCGGGACAGCGGUCUGACCACGCCGUAAAACCCCCAACUUAUCAAGGUUGACCUCGAAUCAGGUAGGAAUACCCGCUGAACUUAAGC